GAUGAACGCUGGCGGCGUGCCUAAUACAUGCAAGUCGAGCGAACAGACGAGGAGCUUGCUCCUCUGACGUUAGCGGCGGACGGGUGAGUAACACGUGGAUAACCUACCUAUAAGAUUGGGAUAACUUCGGGAAACCGGAGCUAAUACCGGAUAAUAUAUUGAACCGCAUGGUUCAAUAGUGAAAGACGGUUUUGCUGUCACUUAUAGAUGGAUCCGCGCCGCAUUAGCUAGUUGGUAAGGUAACGGCUUACCAAGGCAACGAUGCGUAGCCGACCUGAGAGGGUGAUCGGCCACACUGGAACGGAGACACGGUCCAGACUCCUACGGGAGGCAGCAGUAGGGAAUCUUCCGCAAUGGGCGAAAGCCUGACGGAGCAACGCCGCGUGAGUGAUGAAGGUCUUCGGAUCGUAAAACUCUGUUAUUAGGGAAGAACAAAUGUGUAAGUAACUAUGCACGUCUUGACGGUACCUAAUCAGAAAGCCACGGCUAACUACGUG
Molecule: ribosomal RNA, 497 nt
Filed under: uncultured bacterium
Lineage: Bacteria
Description: partial 16S ribosomal RNA
Rfam family: Bacterial small subunit ribosomal RNA
Source: RNAcentral